Ictalurus punctatus (channel catfish) is the source of this 1040-nucleotide long non-coding RNA. The record is from Ensembl. NCBI's taxonomy places the organism in Eukaryota, Metazoa, Chordata, Actinopteri, Siluriformes, Ictaluridae.
GAAAUGGCAUUAUCAUUUGACCGAGAUGCAAGAAAACACACAAAAAAAAUACAGACUUCUGAAUAUAUCCCCUUUUUUAUUAUUAAUAAUUACAUCUUUACAUUACAUUAGGAAUUGAUUGUGUGUGUGUGGUUGUCUGAGAGUGAGAAAGAGAAAACAUACUAGUGGGAGGGGUGGGCUUGGUGGCUCUGACCAAAUUGUUGAGGCCCCCCUGACGGCCCCCACUUUGAAAACCACUGCCUUAGAUAGCGGUCUAUAUCUGCAUUUCUGUGAAGUUUUGUGAUCAUGUGAAUUGUGAAAAUCACUACACUAUUCUUUUCUUCCCAUUAGCAGAUUAUUUUGGAUGUGUAAACCCACACAGUGUUAUCAGAUUAGCUCUUUUAACAGCAAACGAGUGCUCAGAGCGUGUCUGUGAUAUAUAUAUAGAUAUAGGACCAUCGCUGAGCUUCCCAAGUAUCCAGCCCUGGGAGAACAGUAGCACACUGCAUCUAUAGGCUGUUCGUGUAUGUAAAGGGUCAUUAGAUAAGAUUUCUCAAAACUUCAGUAGGUAGAGCUGAAUAAGAUUUGAAUUAUUAUUAUUAUUUUAGUCUUUGAGCCCGCCUUCCUUUUCCCCAACCAAUAAGCACAAAGCAGAGGUUCAACUAGAGUUAGCAUUAGCAAGGAUUGUCAUGACAUCACUUUGAUGCACGCUAUAGAACACUAUAAACAUGCAAAAUAAGGCGAGUAAUGAUUUAACGUAUGGACCUUCGUCUCUCGUGUAGCAGAGCAGUUUGCUGUAUGAGAGGACGUCGGAGAAGAUUUCACGAUAAACGUGAAGGAAACAAAGAUGUGGGAGGUUACAGACGAUCGUCUUGGCCGCAGCGUGUACCACCAUCUCCCUGUUUCCUGUCCUGAACUGUUGUACUCCAUUGCCAGUCUGAAAAAUACCAAAAUGGUUGCUUUGUUAUAAAUAAAAAUAAAUAAAAUAAAAAAGCUCCAUGUCCUCAUUAGAAAUCAUGCAUGACCUCCUUCAAACAUUCAAGCGUCUAGCAACAUUCAGU